GUUGCAAUAGCUCAGUGGUACAGUGCGUGCUUAGCAUGCAUGAGGCCCUGGGUUCAAUCCCUAGUACCUCCA
RNAcentral lists this transfer RNA (72 nucleotides) under Camelus dromedarius (Arabian camel). It matches the Rfam family "tRNA". Rfam says of the family: Transfer RNA (tRNA) molecules are approximately 80 nucleotides in length. RNAcentral also lists the same sequence under 1 other name. Lineage: Eukaryota; Metazoa; Chordata; Mammalia; Artiodactyla; Camelidae. The record is from Rfam by way of RNAcentral.